GGAACGGCUGAGUUCGUCAGACACCACCAGGACCUUUAAUCUUCCAGUCCAAUGAUUCCUCGCUGCUGCUUGUGUUGUGAUGCGUUCAGGGCAAUCACGUGCUGACGGCCACCGUGAGGAGACCAGCGUGUGGAGUUGUGUAACAGGCAGACGAGGCUGGAAACCUGCAGAUGAGCAGCAGGUCUGAGUGGAUCUGGACCGAAAGCCUCCAAACACUGACUGCACACGCACACAGACUGGUGGGAAGCUGGAGCUCACGGAGUCACAUCCAUCACCUGCUGUCACGUGUCACUGAGUGUCUGCCGCUUUCAGGCUAGAAGAGGUAACAGUGCAUACGUCACUU
Molecule: long non-coding RNA, 343 nt
Organism: Betta splendens (Siamese fighting fish)
Lineage: Eukaryota; Metazoa; Chordata; Actinopteri; Anabantiformes; Osphronemidae
Exons: 3
Source: RefSeq, a predicted model, not a curated record